UACGGAGGAUGCGAGCGUUAUCCGGAUUUAUUGGGUUUAAAGGGUGCGUAGGCGGGAUGCCAAGUCAGCGGUAAAAAUGCGGUGCUCAACGCCGUCGAGCCGUUGAAACUGGCGUUCUUGAGUGGGCGGGAAGUAUGCGGAAUGCGUGGUGUAGCGGUGAAAUGCAUAGAUAUCACGCAGAACUCCGAUUGCGAAGGCAGCAUACCGGCGCCCUACUGACGCUGAGGCACGAAAGCGUGGGUAUCGAACAGG
RNAcentral lists this ribosomal RNA (252 nucleotides) under uncultured bacterium. RNAcentral describes it as "partial 16S ribosomal RNA". It matches the Rfam family "Bacterial small subunit ribosomal RNA", at positions 524 to 776 of the family's 1533-position model. The record is from RNAcentral.